GGGCCCUUAGCUCAGCCGGUUAGAGCACCGGACUCAUAAUCCGAGGGACGCAGGUUCAAAUCCUGCAGGGCCCA
RNAcentral lists this transfer RNA (74 nucleotides) under Gemmatimonadota bacterium. RNAcentral describes it as "Gemmatimonadetes bacterium (bioreactor metagenome) tRNA-Ile". It matches the Rfam family "tRNA". Rfam says of the family: Transfer RNA (tRNA) molecules are approximately 80 nucleotides in length. The record is from RNAcentral. Lineage: Bacteria; Pseudomonadati; Gemmatimonadota.